This is a long non-coding RNA of Columba livia (rock pigeon), 5221 nucleotides long. RefSeq lists it as uncharacterized. NCBI's taxonomy places the organism in Eukaryota, Metazoa, Chordata, Aves, Columbiformes, Columbidae. The transcript has 4 exons. The record is from RefSeq and is a predicted model, not a curated record.
UCUGGCAUGGUCCAACUCACACUUCCUUCAUUCCUCAUCUCCUCCCCACCUUUAUUUGUAGCACUGGGCAUUCUCCUGUACAGUUCCUGGGAAGAUCCUGGGCUCCAGCAGUGGUGGUAGAAGGAGAAAUACUCUUGGUUCGGGUGCUUGAAAUUGCAGGAAAUUCUCCACUUGAUCUAGGCUAGAACAUUCAUUGAAGGUAGAAGUUCUGUGGUCAUCCUUGGUGUGCCAGAACUCCCAACAUCUACAGGAGUGCAGUUUGAUUCAGUGGUUCCCCUGUUGUGACCAACUUUUCUCAGAGGCACCUCAGGAUCCUUCUCGUGAUUCCCAACAGUAUUUCAGAAACACUGCUUCUCGCAGGAAAACAGGGGUUUCAGAUUGGUUGCUCCAAGAACCAGCUGUAUGUUUACUCUGGUCUACCUCAGACUCCAGAGACCUUACUUUUACUGGAGGUGAACCAAGAUUUGAAAUUUGUUGUGUACUGUCCUUGGAAGUAAAAUUGCUUUCUAGUGUCUUUGACAACCCAGCUUCCAAAAAAGGGGAUUAAAAAUAUUGUAUGUCACUGUAAAUCAGAAGUCAGUUAUCAAUCUAAAAAUUUGAAAAUGAGCUGAAUAAUUUGUUUCACCUUAUCUUCUACUGGUAGUAAAAUAAAAAGAAUUAAUAAUAACUAAUUGGGUUUUGAAGAAUGAGCUAUUUGUAUGCCUUCCCUUCCAUCCUCAUAGAAAGCUGACACCAGCCAAGUGUAGCACUUGAGUUCACACCAUGUCAUGCAUUGGACAUUUGGCUGUAUCUAUUCAAUUCCUAAAGUUUAACUGUCUGUAUCAUGAAAAUCUCACACAGUAUACAAGCAGUCUUAUUUCAGACAAUUGAACUGUCUUCACAAAGAAGGCUACUCAAAUCUGCAGAGCCAUGGUGUCAAUAGAUAAGUCACGGAGCGCGUGAGCAUGGACAGCCAGGAAGCUGCUGUGCUCUCCAGAGCACUGUCGAGGCUGCAGUUCCUGUGCUUGCUUGUGCUUCUGCCUCUAUUUUUUGCUUUCUGUUGACAGAGAACUUCUUUCACCAGAGGUCUCCACUACACAAACUUUGCAGAUCUUGCCUGACCACUUUAAAAGGGAGGAUUGGUGCAUCCCUGUUUCUGCAGGCCAGUUCACAGAGUCGUGAUUUCAGCAGGAAUAGAUGUAUUUGAACUAGUACUGAGCAAACCAGCUUGGGCAGCAGCAGCAGCACACUGUGGCACUGGGAGUUCAGGAUAAAUCGGAUAGAUCUGCCUAGAAAUGAUGAGCACAUGCAGAGGCAGCUGGACCAUACUGCUGAGCAUCCUUCUAGUGAUACCCAGGAUAACCCCACCAGAGAUGUCCCUUCCCUUGCUGCAAUGACACCUCCGACUACAGCAUAGGAGUUUUUUGCUGAUGGAUACAUCAGUGUGCUGAGGCUGUUUUGUGCUGCUCUGGGGACAUGAAGCAAAAGUAAAUAAACAUUUACCAGUCAACUAAAAUGGGUGGUAAUAGCCACUAAUUAUGUAAGUCAAAAUAAGUGGUGUUUGAAUGACUGACCUUCAAUUUCUAUAACUCAGAGAGCAUCCAUUUGCUACAGCAUUCAGACAUCCGUUGCUGUCACAUGGCUUAACUUGCUUUAUUAUACAGAAAUUCCUCUUUUUGUCUGCCAAAGGUUGGAGUCAAGAAUUUCACAACAAAGUUUAUUAUCCUAUACUGUGAAUUUUAACCCUAUGAUGGAAGCCUGAUGAGUGUGUACUUCUGAGGAGUUUAUGAUUACAGAUUUUCCCAGAUGUCUGGUGUCUGAGAGAAGAUACAUUAUUAAAAAAGAACAAAUAUUACCACCAGAGUAACAUAAAAUACUUCAUUGAAAUAAAAGCAUCUAAAAGCUGUUUCAUGGAACUUGUGGAAAUAAUUUAUUUAAGGAAAUGUGACUGUUGGCAACUGAAAGUGUGCAGCUAUUUUGCAGAAUUUCCUGCUGAGUAACAAUUUAUAUCAACAAACUAAUUAUAUUUCAGAGUUGUUAACAACUUAGCUAUUAAUUUAUGUGUUCAUUUAAGAACUACUAAAUAGAAAGGUGUGUCUGAACAAAUACUAAUCUCACUUUCGGGCGUAAAUUGUCACUCAAUCAUAUUUAUUGUAAAUAUAUCAUGAAAACUCCCACAUUGUUUAUGGAAUUUAAACCCAGAUACUCAAUUGAUGAUACCAAAGACAUUAACAGACAGGAGUGGUUUUGCAUCUGUGUCACCGACAUCAGUAUAGAAAAUCUAGACACUAUUGAUACCUCUUCAUUAUCAUAUUAACUGCUCUCAGAUCUGUUCUGCAUGUCAUUAAUUUUGAGCCAUAUUGACCAGAGAGUGAAAGGCAUAAAGGAAAUAACAAAAUUAGUCCACACCUGAGUUCCAUACAACUUUGUUUAGUGGAGCAUUUCUUUUUGAGCUGACUGCUGUUGACUAAACGCCUCCACUGAUCCUGAAUGAAGUAAUCAGAAGUUACUAGCUAGAUUCACAUUUCUUGGAAACUGAGAGGAAAAUUGUUUUUAAGAUGAAAGCAUAGGCUGAGAUUUGGGUAUCUGGCUUCAGCUCUCAGAUGUCUUCUAGACUCUCCAGAGGCUUUAUCAAACCAGGUCAUGUAUCCACACUUUACUGUCCUGCACUAUUUCUGCUUUGGUUUUGGCUUGGGUUUUCAGACCAUGUUUUGCAGACUCAUGAACAUUCACAGGUGGCUACUUGUUAAGGUGUGGGAAAUGACGGCUAAAGGAAAGCAAGCUUACUCUUGGCAGAGUGCUGUUAGUAAAAGUGGGGAUAUUUUUAAAGGGACACAAGUAGUGAAAACUUAAAAGUCUACACCUUUAACUGCCAGUUCUACCAGGGGAGCUGUCUUUGAGUAGGUGGAGGUACAGCUCUUUGCAGAGUGGAGCCUUUGAGCAGGAGUGCAAUGCCAUUGGUAUAGGCGUAACACUGACAUGGGCUGUUUCAUCCCAUGCGACCUCUAGUAGAGUUCCCCCAUGGUGACAUCCCUUGUCAUGCUCUAUUUCUGUCCAUGCAUUAUGGACAGUUACUCAAGGAGUAGCAUGGUUUGUUUUCUAGCUUUCCUAGUUUCAGGUUUUCAUAGUAAACACAGUCAAUCUUCUGUCAAGGCCAGGAGCCCAGUGAAGACCAUAAAAUAUAAAUGAUAGAGGGAUGUCAAAAAUCUGCAGUUUUAACUGCUUUGCUGAUUUCUGUGGGUCACACACACUUGCACACCUCAAGAGCAUAAGCAUCUUAAAGGUGGGAGAACACAUCUUCAGGGGAAAAAAGGAUAUGUCUUGGUUUAGCUCUGUGAAUACAAAUUUCAUCGUCAUGCACAUAAACAGUAGAAAAUACUUUAUGUUGAGAGCUAGUUUAACAACUGGAAGAAUGCUCCUUCAAAGACUGAGCCAUUAAAAGGAGAUACAUGACCUGAAAACUUAUACAAUUUAGAGAAAAUAUCUUUCCAUCUAAUGAACAGCUGGUUGAAUGCAGAGAAACAUAGUCAUUUUUCCUGGAGAUGGAUUUAUAACUGCUAAUAUUUUCAUGCUACUCAUAUCUUCAAGCAAAUGUGAUAUGUUUUAUGAUGUACCAUGGUUUUAUAUACAUAUUUCAUUCUUGUUAUUCCUUGAAAAUAAGAAUAAAAAAGAAAAAAAAAACAGCAAAUAUGGAGAAAAAAAUGUGGAGUGCUGUAAUAAUGGAUUUACCUGAAAUCCUAGUAAUAUAGUGUCAGAAGCUUUACCCAAAACCAAAACAAAACAAAAUAAAACAAACAAAAAACCACAUUUAAGUGUAAAUAUCUACUCAACAAGACACUGACUGAAUGUCAUAAACUGUCUGAAAGUAGAACACUUAAUCUGCAUCCAGUCUUUCACUGGCAUAUUUACAUCUUUUGGACGAAUAAAAAGCAUUCAAAUACCAUAAAAAAUGAAAAUAUAAUGUCCUCAGAAUGUAAAAUAAAACCCUGGUGUAAGAUAAAAUAUAUUCCAAUGACUGCAAUUAAUUGCAAUGUAGAAUAAAUCACUAUACAAAUAAUACAUGUGCUUUAAAUAUCAUUUAAAAAGCCAUUAACAAGCCAACAGAAACUGGCAGCUCAACAAUUUUAUGACACUAAACAGGACUGGAACAGUGUGAUUCUGACUUCAUUUAAAACAAUGACAAACCUUCCAUUGACUUUAGUUGGGGAGAACUGAAGUGUCAAUAAUGUUUCAUUUAAAAAAAAAUCUAUUUUUCUUCUGCAAUGCAAAGGAAGUGAAACCUCAGAGAUCUGGAUAUACCAACAUUCUGGCUGAUUUAAAUCCAUUUUAUGUACUUACAGAAAUUAGCAGAAUAAUUUGUUAUAUUUAGGCUUGCAGUGUCAAAUAACUCUUGCAUUGCAAAGUCUCCUUAUGUUCAUUUCAAGCUUCAUACUUAUUUUUUUCCUCUGAUCAAGAAAGAGUGUUAAAAACCCUUAGGGUCUUAUCAGAUGCUUGAGCCUCUAAAGCUAACAAACAAGAGACAUAACUCAGGGGAAGCCACUUUGUAUUGUUAAUUUUUCAGGUCUGGUCUCUACAAAGAGCAAAAGGUAAUCUCAAGAUGAGGGCAGUUGAUAUUUCUCAUGUUUGUAUAACUUUUGCAGUAGCGUAAUGAUUUUGAAAAUAUUGGGCCCAACAGAAGUGUGAUUUAUGCUGAGAGCAACAUCCAAAUGAAGGAAGAGAAGAGAGUAGCCAGUGUCUAAUCUAUGGGUGUUUGGCAGGUGGACAGUGGGGCAUUCUGCUCUGCACUUUAGUGGCAGGGUCAGAAAGCCCCUGUGAGGGAAGACCCAUCAGCUCCAUUCCCUCUGGAGGACAGAGCCCCAGAGAAGUUGAAAAAGCGGAUAGGAGAGUGUUUGUGUCUUGAGCAAAAGGCAAGGAGAGGUUGGAGAUCUCUGCAAGACAAGAAGUGCCUCCUCUUGCCCGAGACCCUCUGCCCCUUCACUGUGCACUGGCACUCCAGAAUGAAGGCAGAGACAUCCCACCUUACUGUGCUGUCUCCAGAAACAGAGGCUGGCACACCACAGGUUCACAGGGUUCGUCUGGGGAAACAUUCCCCUCUGUCAUGCCACACUUUGCAGCGAGGUACUCACCGAGAUGAAGAAGCCACAGGCUGCUUUUCCUUUCCCUCUUCUGCUCAUCACCCCCUGCAAACACACUGUCACUGACUCCCUUCCAGGUCUUGCACUGUCACUCAGGUUCCCGCUUG